This 254-nucleotide ribosomal RNA is filed under the name uncultured bacterium. RNAcentral describes it as "partial 16S ribosomal RNA". It matches the Rfam family "Bacterial small subunit ribosomal RNA", at positions 524 to 776 of the family's 1533-position model. The record is from RNAcentral.
UACGUAGGCAGCGAGCGUUGUUCGGAGUUACUGGGCGUAAAGGGUGUGUAGGCGGUUGUUUAAGUUUGGUGUGAAAUCUCCCGGCUCAACUGGGAGGGUGCGCCGAAUACUGAAUGACUUCGAGUGCGGGAGAGGUGAGUGGAAUUCCUGGUGUAGCGGUGAAACGCGUAGAUAUCAGGAGGAACACCGGUGGUGUAGACGGCUCACUGGACCGUAACUGACGCUGAGACACGAAAGCAUGGGGAGCAAACAGG